This 460-nucleotide ribosomal RNA is filed under the name uncultured bacterium. RNAcentral's name for it is "partial 16S ribosomal RNA". It matches the Rfam family "Bacterial small subunit ribosomal RNA", at positions 338 to 795 of the family's 1533-position model. The record is from RNAcentral.
CCUACGGGGAGCUGCAGUGAGGAAUAUUGGUCAAUGGACGAGAGUCUGAACCAGCCAAGUAGCGUGAAGGAUGACUGCCCUAUGGGUUGUAAACUUCUUUUAUAUGGGAAUAAAACGUUCCACGUGUGGGAUUUUGUAUGUACCAUAUGAAUAAGGAUCGGCUAACUCCGUGCCAGCAGCCGCGGUAAUACGGAGGAUCCGAGCGUUGUCCGGAUUUAUUGGGUUUAAAGGGAGCGUAGGUGGAUUGUUAAGUCAGUUGUGAAAGUUUGCGGCUCAACCGUAAAAUUGCAGUUGAAACUGGCAGUCUUGAGUACAGUAGAGGUGGGCGGAAUUCGUGGUGUAGCGGUGAAAUGCUUAGAUAUCACGAAGAACUCCGAUUGCGAAGGCAGUUCACUGGACUGCAACUGACACUGAGGCUCGAAAGUGUGGGUAUCAAACAGGAUUAGAUACCCCUGUAGUC